This 488-nucleotide ribosomal RNA is filed under the name uncultured Entrophospora. RNAcentral describes it as "SSU rRNA". It matches the Rfam family "Eukaryotic small subunit ribosomal RNA", at positions 569 to 1052 of the family's 1831-position model. Lineage: Eukaryota; Fungi; Glomeromycota; Glomeromycetes; Entrophosporales; Entrophosporaceae. The record is from RNAcentral.
AGCAGCCGCGGUAAUUCCAGCUCCAAUAGCGUAUAUUAAAGUUGUUGCAGUUAAAAAGCUCGUAGUUGAAUUUCGGGAUUGGCGCAUCGGUCGUGCCUCACGGGGUAUGAACUGGUGCAGUCAAUUUCUCACCUUCUGGAGAACCGCGAUGUCCUUAAUUGGAUGCCGCGGGGAACCAGGACCUUUACUUUAGAAAAAAUUAGAGUGUUUAAAGCAGGCAUUUUUGCUUGAAUACAUUAGCAUGGAAUAAUAAAAUAGGACGGCAUGGUUCUAUUUUGUUGGUUUCUAGGACCACCGUAAUGAUUAAUAGGGAUAGUUGGGGGCUAUUAGUAUUCAAUUGUCAGAGGUGAAAUUCUUGGAUUUAUUGAAGACUAACUACUGCGAAAGCAUUUGCCAAGGAUGUUUUCAUUAAUCAAGAACGAAAGUUAGGGGAUCGAAGACGAUCAGAUACCGUCGUAGUCUUAACCAUAAACUAUGCCGACUAGGAA